UUGGACAAUGGGGGCAACCCUGAUCCAGCCAUGCCGCGUGCGGGAAGAAGGCUUCGGGUUGUAAACCGCUUUCAGACGGAAAGAAACAGUACAAGCUAAUACCUUGUACGAAUGACGGUACCGUCAGAAGAAGCACCGGCUAACUACGUGCCAGCAGCCGCGGUAAUACGUAGGGUGCGAGCGUUAAUCGGAAUUACUGGGCGUAAAGAGUGCGCAGGCGGCUCUCUAAGACAGGUGUGAAAUCCCCGGGCUUAACCUGGGAAUGGCGCUUGUGACUGGAGAGCUAGAGUGUGGCAGAGGGGAAUGGAAUUCCUGGUGUAGCAGUGAAAUGCGUAGAUAUCAGGAGGAACACCGAUGGCGAAGGCAGUUCCCUGGGCCAA
This 380-nucleotide ribosomal RNA is filed under the name uncultured beta proteobacterium. RNAcentral's name for it is "bacterial SSU rRNA". It matches the Rfam family "Bacterial small subunit ribosomal RNA", at positions 364 to 737 of the family's 1533-position model. The record is from RNAcentral. Lineage: Bacteria; Pseudomonadati; Pseudomonadota; Betaproteobacteria.